AAAUUGAAGAGUUUGAUCAUGGCUCAGAUUGAACGCUGGCGGCAGGCCUAACACAUGCAAGUCGAACGGUAACAGGAAGCAGCUUGCUGCUUUGCUGACGAGUGGCGGACGGGUGAGUAAUGUCUGGGAAACUGCCUGAUGGAGGGGGAUAACUACUGGAAACGGUGGCUAAUACCGCAUAACGUCGCAAGACCAAAGAGGGGGACCUUCGGGCCUCUUGCCAUCAGAUGUGCCCAGAUGGGAUUAGCUUGUUGGUGAGGUAACGGCUCACCAAGGCGACGAUCCCUAGCUGGUCUGAGAGGAUGACCAGCCACACUGGAACUGAGACACGGUCCAGACUCCUACGGGAGGCAGCAGUGGGGAAUAUUGCACAAUGGGCGCAAGCCUGAUGCAGCCAUGCCGCGUGUAUGAAGAAGGCCUUCGGGUUGUAAAGUACUUUCAGCGGGGAGGAAGGUGUUGUGGUUAAUAACCGCAGCAAUUGACGUUACCCGCAGAAGAAGCACCGGCUAACUCCGUGCCAGCAGCCGCGGUAAUACGGAGGGUGCAAGCGUUAAUCGGAAUUACUGGGCGUAAAGCGCACGCAGGCGGUCUGUCAAGUCGGAUGUGAAAUCCCCGGGCUCAACCUGGGAACUGCAUUCGAAACUGGCAGGCUUGAGUCUUGUAGAGGGGGGUAGAAUUCCAGGUGUAGCGGUGAAAUGCGUAGAGAUCUGGAGGAAUACCGGUGGCGAAGGCGGCCCCCUGGACAAAGACUGACGCUCAGGUGCGAAAGCGUGGGGAGCAAACAGGAUUAGAUACCCUGGUAGUCCACGCCGUAAACGAUGUCUACUUGGAGGUUGUGCCCUUGAGGCGUGGCUUCCGGAGCUAACGCGUUAAGUAGACCGCCUGGGGAGUACGGCCGCAAGGUUAAAACUCAAAUGAAUUGACGGGGGCCCGCACAAGCGGUGGAGCAUGUGGUUUAAUUCGAUGCAACGCGAAGAACCUUACCUGGUCUUGACAUCCACGGAAGUUUUCAGAGAUGGAUUGUGCCUUCGGGAACCGUGAGACAGGUGCUGCAUGGCUGUCGUCAGCUCGUGUUGUGAAAUGUUGGGUUAAGUCCCGCAACGAGCGCAACCCUUAUCCUUUGUUGCCAGCGGUCCGGCCGGGAACUCAAAGGAGACUGCCAGUGAUAAACUGGAGGAAGGUGGGGAUGACGUCAAGUCAUCAUGGCCCUUACGACCAGGGCUACACACGUGCUACAAUGGCGCAUACAAAGAGAAGCGACCUCGCGAGAGCAAGCGGACCUCAUAAAGUGCGUCGUAGUCCGGAUUGGAGUCUGCAACUCGACUCCAUGAAGUCGGAAUCGCUAGUAAUCGUGGAUCAGAAUGCCACGGUGAAUACGUUCCCGGGCCUUGUACACACCGCCCGUCACACCAUGGGAGUGGGUUGCAAAAGAAGUAGGUAGCUUAACCUUCGGGAGGGCGCUUACCACUUUGUGAUUCAUGACUGGGGUGAAGUCGUAACAAGGUAACCGUAGGGGAACCUGCGGUUGGAUCACCUCCUUA
This 1541-nucleotide ribosomal RNA is filed under the name Salmonella enterica. RNAcentral describes it as "bacterial SSU rRNA". It matches the Rfam family "Bacterial small subunit ribosomal RNA". Lineage: Bacteria; Pseudomonadati; Pseudomonadota; Gammaproteobacteria; Enterobacterales; Enterobacteriaceae. The record is from RNAcentral.